GACGAACGCUGGCGGCGUGCUUAACACAUGCAAGUCGAACGGUGAACCUCGUCGGAGGGGAUCAGUGGCGAACGGGUGGGUAACACGUGGGUAACCUGCCCCCGGCUCUGGGAUAAUUGCAAGAAUUCGGGGCUAAUACCUUAUGUGCACCGCUUCCCGCAUGGGUGUCGGUGGAAAGGGUUUCCGGCUGGGGGUGGGGUCGCGGCCUACCAGGUUGUCGGUGGGGUAGUGGACUACGAAGGCGACGACGCGUAGCCGGCCUGAGAUGGUGACCUGACACACUGGGACUGAGACGAGGCCCAGACUCAUACGGGAGGCAGAAGUGGAGUAUAUUACGCUAUGGGCGGAGGCCUGACGCAGCGACGCCGCGUGGGGGAUGACGGCAUUCGGGUUGUAAACCUCUUUCAGCAGAGACGAAGAGAAAGUGACGGUACCUGCAGAAGAAGCACCGGCCAACUACGUG
This 463-nucleotide ribosomal RNA is filed under the name uncultured bacterium. RNAcentral describes it as "partial 16S ribosomal RNA". It matches the Rfam family "Bacterial small subunit ribosomal RNA", at positions 28 to 507 of the family's 1533-position model. The record is from RNAcentral.